RNAcentral lists this ribosomal RNA (1447 nucleotides) under Clostridioides difficile. Its description in RNAcentral is "partial 23S ribosomal RNA". It matches the Rfam family "Bacterial large subunit ribosomal RNA", at positions 290 to 1747 of the family's 2925-position model. The record is from RNAcentral. Lineage: Bacteria; Bacillati; Bacillota; Clostridia; Peptostreptococcales; Peptostreptococcaceae.
UAUUGGGGUUGCGGACAUAUCAUAACGGAGAGGUAUCGUAAUUGAAGAGGUUUGGAAAGACCCACCACAGAAGGUAAUAGUCCUGUAUGUUAAACGAGAAGACUUUAGAUAUGAUCCAGAGUACCACGGGACACGUGAAACCCUGUGGGAAGCAGGAGGGACCACCCUCCAAGGCUAAAUACUACCUAGUGACCGAUAGCGUAUAGUACCGUGAGGGAAAGGUGAAAAGAACCCCGGGAGGGGAGUGAAAUAGAACCUGAAACCCUGCACUUACAAGCUGUGGAAGCACAUUUCUUGUGUGACCGCGUACUUUUUGUAGAACGGGCCAACGAGUUACGUUAAGUAGCAAGGUUAAGCACUUAAGGUGUGGAGCCGUAGCGAAAGCGAGUUUUAACUGAGCGUUCAGUUACUUGACGUAGACCCGAAACCGGGCGACCUACCCAUGAGCAGGAUGAAGCGAAAGUAAAAUUUCGUGGAGGUCCGAACCCACGAGCGUUGAAAAGCUCGGGGAUGACUUGUGGGUAGCGGUGAAAUUCCAAUCGAGCCCGGAGAUAGCUGGUUCUCCCCGAAAUAGCUUUAGGGCUAGCCUCAAGGUGAGAGAUACGGAGGUAGAGCACUGAAUGUCCUAGGGGGUAUUGCACCUACCGAAGACUAUCAAACUCCGAAUGCCGUCAUCUUAUACUUGGGAGUCAGACUGUGGGUGAUAAGAUUCAUAGUCGAAAGGGCAACAGCCCAGAUCGUCAGCUAAGGUCCCUAAAUGUAAGUUAAGUGGUAAAGGAUGUGGGAUUGCACAGACAACCAGGAUGUUGGCUUAGAAGCAGCCACUCAUUCAAAGAGUGCGUAAUAGCUCACUGGUCGAGUGAUCCUGCGCCGAAGAUUUCCGGGGCUAAAACUUACUACCGAAGCUACGGCAUCAGUAAUGAUGGGUAGGGGAGCUUCCCAUACGGGUUGAAGCAUGACCGUAAGGACAUGUGGACAGUAUGGGAGUGAGAAUGUUGGCAUGAGUAGCGAGAUGUGGGUGAGAAUCCCACAGGCCGUAAACCCAAGGUUUCCAGGGGAAGGUUCGUCCGCCCUGGGUUAGUCGGGACCUAAGCUGAGGCCGAAAGGCGUAGGUGAUGGACAACAGGUUGAUAUUCCUGUACUACCGAUAACCGUUUGAGAGAAGGGAUGACACAGUAGGAUAAGCUAAGCACACUGUUGGUUAUGUGUGCCCAAGCAUUGAGGCAGUCAAAGUAGGCAAAUCCGCUUUGAUAAUGCUGGGAUGUGAUGGGGAGCGAAAUUUAGUAGCGAAGUAGCUGAUUUCACACUGUCAAGAAAAGUCUCUAUCGAGGUUAAAGGUACCCGUACCGCAAACCGACACAGGUGGGUGAGGAGAGUAUCCUAAGGCCAGCGAGAGAACUGUUGUUAAGGAACUCGGCAAAAUGACCCCGUAACUUAGGGAUAAGGG